GAAAAAUGAAGAUAUUCUGACUGCUUCCUGUGAUUACAGUGAAGACCUCAGAUCCAACUCUGAUUUCACUCUAGUU
Molecule: small nucleolar RNA, 76 nt
Filed under: Opisthocomus hoazin
Lineage: Eukaryota; Metazoa; Chordata; Aves; Opisthocomiformes; Opisthocomidae
Description: Small nucleolar RNA SNORD19
Rfam family: Small nucleolar RNA SNORD19
About the family: Homo sapiens C/D box snoRNA HBII-108: This snoRNA is the human orthologue of the mouse MBII-108 and is predicted to guide 2'O-ribose methylation of the small 18S rRNA on position G683. snoRNA HBII-108 is encoded in a nucleostemin (NS) gene intron like the HBII-210
Source: Rfam by way of RNAcentral